CAGGUGUGUUUGGUGUUGAUGCAGAUGAAGUGAAGUCAGUCCCGUCACAAACCGCACACAACAUCGACACUUCAAUGAUGCCUGUCAGCCGUGUUCAGAUGAAACGCUGAGAGAUGAGAAGAACGUGUCAGAAUACACAGAGGUCAUCUACAGACUUCACACGAGAGAUCCGUCACAGGCAUCAUAUGAGCAUAUGGACAGACAGAACCAUGGUCAACUCACAACACAGUGAAAGUCAAGAUUAACAGGUUGCUAGCGCAUCGCUCUACCAGCUACAGGAACACUGCACUCAUGUGAAACUCCGUUUGAAGGCGCAGAAACCCCAUCGCCAUCAUGUGCCUGUAAGAAAACACGAAACCAGUCACAAAGAGGAACAGGAAAGUAACUGGUAAUGACAGCGAAUGCUGCGAGAAUGAAGACCACCGCUGCUACUACAAUGAUGAUCACUGCAAUAGUGGUUAUACCAAUCCUGACAGGCCCACCUACACGUCAUGGAGCAAGAAGAUUUGUGUAAGUAAAUGCAAAUCUAAUACAGUUUAUGGUCACAUGGUUACAACAACACACUUUCUGAGCUCUCUGAUGAUGCAUUUUGUGAGGCGUUUCUGCCGAUGACAGGAACAGGCAGACGAGCUGGAAAACAUGAAAAAGAAAGUGAAGUAUUAAUGUUUUAGAUACAAUUUAUAUGUUGCAUGAACAUUCACAAAUUACUUGAACAUUCACUUAUGUUUAAAAGGCCAUCAGUGUAAAA
Triplophysa rosa is the source of this 748-nucleotide long non-coding RNA. RefSeq lists it as uncharacterized. NCBI's taxonomy places the organism in Eukaryota, Metazoa, Chordata, Actinopteri, Cypriniformes, Nemacheilidae. The record is from RefSeq and is a predicted model, not a curated record. The transcript is spliced from 5 exons.